This 375-nucleotide long non-coding RNA is filed under the name Mustela putorius furo (domestic ferret). RNAcentral's name for it is "lncRNA (ENSMPUG00000026068.1)". The record is from RNAcentral. Lineage: Eukaryota; Metazoa; Chordata; Mammalia; Carnivora; Mustelidae.
CACAGCACCUGCUCCCCGGGCAGACAUCAGGUGUGUGUGUGUGUGUGUGGGGGGACAGCUCUGCAGGGAAAGCCACGAACUACAGACUGGGGGCCGGGGUGUCGCUUCUACGGAAGCGCUGGUGACUCCCUCUACCGCGGAGGCGUCUGGAGGCCCCGCGCAGCUGACGUGUGGCGGCUCGUGGCUCACGCAGGACUUACUGGGGAAACAGCGAUCUGGGAAGUGAGCCCCGUGUGCAGGUUUAGCCUUCUUUCUAUCUCCCUUUGAAUCUUCAAGGAUCUUACCGUGGAACUCAGACUGAAUUGAACCCUUGUCUUGUCAGCUGACUUUCUCAGCGGUAAGAACCCUGGGGGAAGGAGCUUGCAUAUUCCUGAG